This 736-nucleotide ribosomal RNA is filed under the name Neohelicosporium irregulare. RNAcentral's name for it is "partial large subunit ribosomal RNA". It matches the Rfam family "Eukaryotic large subunit ribosomal RNA", at positions 77 to 839 of the family's 3401-position model. The record is from RNAcentral. Lineage: Eukaryota; Fungi; Ascomycota; Dothideomycetes; Tubeufiales; Tubeufiaceae.
GCCUCAGUAACGGCGAGUGAAGCGGCAACAGCUCAAAUUUGAAAUCUGGCUUCGGUCCGAGUUGUAAUUUGUAGAGGAUGCUUCGGCUUACGUACCGGUCUAAGUUCCUUGGAACAGGACGUCACAGAGGGUGAGAAUCCCGUUUGUGGCCGGCACUUCCGCCAUGUGAAGCUCCUUCGACGAGUCGAGUUGUUUGGGAAUGCAGCUCUAAAUGGGAGGUAAAUUUCUUCUAAAGCUAAAUACCGGCCAGAGACCGAUAGCGCACAAGUAGAGUGAUCGAAAGAUGAAAAGCACUUUGGAAAGAGAGUUAAAAAGUACGUGAAAUUGUUGAAAGGGAAGCGCUUGCGACCAGACUUGCCUGCGGAUGCUCAACCGGUCCUUCGGCCGGUGCACUCUUCCGCGGUCAGGCCAGCAUCAGUUCGGGCGGUCGGAUAAAGGCCUUGGGAAUGUGGCUCUCUUCGGGGAGUGUUAUAGCCCUUGGUGCAAUACGGCCCGCCUGGACUGAGGCCCGCGCUUCGGCUAGGAUGCUGGCGUAAUGGUCGUAAGCGGCCCGUCUUGAAACACGGACCAAGGAGUCUAACAUCUAUGCGAGUGUUUGGGUGUCAAACCCGUGCGCGAAAUGAAAGUGAACGGAGGUGGGAACCUUAGGGUGCACCAUCGACCGAUCCUGAUGUCUUCGGAUGGAUUUGAGUAAGAGCAUAGCUGUUGGGACCCGAAAGAUGGUGAACUAUGCCUG